UGGGGGAUCGUCUAGCGGUAGGACACCGCCCUUUGGAGGCGGGUACCUUGGUUCGAAUCCAAGUCCCCCAGCCG
Molecule: transfer RNA, 74 nt
Filed under: Candidatus Giovannonibacteria bacterium RIFCSPHIGHO2_02_FULL_44_11
Lineage: Bacteria; Candidatus Giovannoniibacteriota
Also listed under: 1 other name
Description: tRNA-Gln
Rfam family: tRNA
About the family: Transfer RNA (tRNA) molecules are approximately 80 nucleotides in length. Their secondary structure includes four short double-helical elements and three loops (D, anti-codon, and T loops).
Source: RNAcentral